GAUGAAGAACGCAGCGAAAUGCGAUAAGUAGUGUGAAUUGCAGAAUUCAGUGAAUCAUCGAAUCUUUGAACGCACAUUGCGCCCCCUGGUAUUCCGGGGGGCAUGCCUGUUCGAGCGUCAUUUCACCACUCAAGCCUCGCUUGGUAUUGGGCAACGCGGUCCGCCGCGUGCCUCAAAUCGUCCGGCUGGGUCUUCUGUCCCCUAAGCGUUGUGGAAACUAUUCGCUAAAGGGUGUUCGGGAGGCUACGCCGUAAAACAACCCCAUUUCUAAGGUUGACCUCGGAUCAGGUAGGGAUACCCGCUGAACUUAAGCAUAUCAAUAAGCGGAGGA
This 331-nucleotide unclassified non-coding RNA is filed under the name soil metagenome. RNAcentral describes it as "partial contains 5.8S ribosomal RNA, internal transcribed spacer 2, and large subunit ribosomal RNA". The stretch from base 1 to 120 matches the Rfam family "5.8S ribosomal RNA", at positions 35 to 154 of the family's 154-position model. The record is from RNAcentral.